RNAcentral lists this unclassified non-coding RNA (1548 nucleotides) under Yarrowia lipolytica. The record is from RNAcentral. Lineage: Eukaryota; Fungi; Ascomycota; Dipodascomycetes; Dipodascales.
GGUACGGUCCGGGGAGAGUGGAUGAGAUGGUUGACGCGAUUACGAAGGGAGAUUGUGUGUUGCUCUCACGGGUACCAUAUGGCUCUGUACUGAACAUGUUUUUCAGAACGUCUCCAGGAGCCAUGAGGGUGGUCUCUGACGACAGAGGUACAGAGUGAAAUACUCCAGAGUGAGAUACUCCAGAGUGACAACGGAGGGCCAUCAGAGUGAGAUACUCCAGAGUGAUAACGAAGGGCCUUCAGAGUGAGAUACUCCAGAGUGACAACGAAGGGCCUUCAGAGUGAGAUACUCCAGAGCGCCGCUUUCAGGUGGUAUGUAUGUAUGUACUGUACAGUAUGUACGUGUACUCGUACCUGUAGCACGCUAGAGAAGAACCCGUGGAACCUACCAACCGUGGUCUCUCCGUGCUCUUACUCUCUCAUGUGCCUUUUUCGAGACUGAAAGCUGCCAGAUGCUCUAUCCGGCGUGCUCGUUGAGGGGAUAUGAGUGACGAGGUUACAGAGACAAGGAGAUCGCAAUGGUACUGCUCGGACUAAGCCGCCGGGCUGAGCUGCCGCCAAUCCAGGCAAGUGAAGCAGGACGGGGCAAGAAGACAAGACCAGGACGUCUUUGUUCAGAAAGAAGCAGACUCUCUCAGUCGGUUCUACAUGAACUUGACUGGCUUGACCCGUACUUUAGCAUGGAUAACAGACAUUGGACACAUGCCAGUCUUUUCAGGACACAAUUCUAGUCUACAAGUACAGUACAGUACACACCAUACUUGCCUCCUGGUUACGUCGUACAAUGCACGUUCGAUCCGCACAGUUGACCACGAUAUUCUGACCACUUUCACCUGAUCUCCAGAUCAGUACAAGUAGUCCCAGAGAUCUUUCAGGUCGUGAGUCGACAAUGGUGAUGUCUGGGUGGAGCUCGUUCAGGAGGUUCUUGUGUUUCUAUUGUUACCAUGACUCGGAUACCUCGCGCGGCUUGAGCUCCACUCCAAGGCUCAGUUGAAGACAACAAGUAGAUCAAUCAUUGAGAGAAUGCUUCUAGUCUGUACAUACAGUACGGGUAGCACAUAUGGUACUUACACCUUUCCAGAUGAUCGGUAAGAACAAUGGAGAUCUUCAAUCUGUUCGGCUCUCAAGUACGACUCCGAUCCACUCGGAUACAUAUGUCUGUAGUUGAUUUUGUGUUCUAUCCCGCCUCCCAAAGAGUGGUCAUCAUCUUCCUGGGUUGGAACAGCCGCUUUUGCAAGUCAUGUGGGAAUCGUUGAUGUAUUUGUUACAUAAGAUCCAUCUAUGUGAGUGGUGAAAUUGGAGAAUUACUUCAUUGAGAGUACACAUGGUCGUUUUUCUAUAAAGGAGGGCUUUUUCUGCUUCUCGUUCUGUCUGUUUCUGCUGUCUAUCAAGUCCUGAUUUGUCCAGGCCACUCUCAGCACUGUGGAUUCGAUCUUGGUCUUUUUGGGCCGUGAUAAAUGUCUCAGUCCUUUGCCAAAUCGCCUAUGUAGAGAAAUUCCAGCUACAGUACCCUGGAUUCAUCGUAUUGACGGAUGACAUAUCAACAACC